This 168-nucleotide ribosomal RNA is filed under the name Peltaster fructicola. Its description in RNAcentral is "5.8S ribosomal RNA". It matches the Rfam family "5.8S ribosomal RNA". From Rfam's summary of the family: 5.8S ribosomal RNA (5.8S rRNA) is a component of the large subunit of the eukaryotic ribosome. It is transcribed by RNA polymerase I as part of the 45S precursor that also contains 18S and 28S rRNA. Lineage: Eukaryota; Fungi; Ascomycota; Dothideomycetes. The record is from RNAcentral.
AAAUUUAUACAAAACUUUCAACAACGGAUCUCUUGGUUCUGGCAUCGAUGAAGAACGCAGCGAAAUGCGAUAAGUAAUGUGAAUUGCAGAAUUCAGUGAAUCAUCGAAUCUUUGAACGCACAUUGCGCCCUCUGGUAUUCCGGGGGGCAUGCCUGUUCGAGCGUCAUU